UUUCCUUUAGUUUAUACAUUAAAACAUUAGUUUGAAGAGCUGAAGAUAGUAUGUGCUAGGGAGUA
RNAcentral lists this transfer RNA (65 nucleotides) under Moniezia benedeni. Its description in RNAcentral is "tRNA-Phe". The record is from RNAcentral. Lineage: Eukaryota; Metazoa; Platyhelminthes; Cestoda; Cyclophyllidea; Anoplocephalidae.